Molecule: long non-coding RNA, 21234 nt
Filed under: Vitis vinifera (wine grape)
Lineage: Eukaryota; Viridiplantae; Streptophyta; Magnoliopsida; Vitales; Vitaceae
Description: long non-coding RNA (VVIN_LNC001688)
Source: RNAcentral
GGGUGGUGACUUGUGGUAGUAGACUGGUGGUUGGGGUGAUGGAGAAGGUAGUGGUGGGGAUUUGUAGAGGUAUGGUGGAAGAGGAGAUGGAGAUGGAGGAGGUGAGGACUUGUAAUAGGAUGGAGAAGGUGGUGGUGGUGAUUUGUAGUAGUAAGGAGGAGGUGGGGAAGGAGAUGGUAGAGGUGGGGACUUAUAGUAAUAAGGAGGUUGAGGAGAUGGUGAUGGAGGAGGAGGUAAUUUAUAGUCGUAGUGAGGAGGGGGUGAUGGUGAAGGUAGUGGUGGUGACUUGUAGUAAUACCACGGAGGAAGAGAUGGAGAUGGAGCCAGAGGUGACAGCGGUGGUAGUGAUUUGUAGUAAUAAGGAGGCAGUGAUGAUGGAAAAGGUGGGAGCGGUGGCAGUGAUUUAUGGUAAUAAGGAGGUAGUGAUGAUGGAAAAGGUGGGAGCGGUGGCCGUGAUUUAUAGUAAUAAGGAGGUAGUGAUGAUGGAAAAGGUGGGGAUGCAAAAGUAUUAGGAUUGUAAGGCUCGUCUUCAGCAGCUACAUUAGCGGCAAUCAAGCACAAAGCCAAGACACAAAUCAGGUGAGGCCAAAAAUUGGCCAUUUCCAGAACACGAGAAAAUUUCACUCCUACAACUCAAGAACUUCUAUUUCUUAGAACAGAAGGGAUUUUGUGAAUGAUGCUUCAAGGUAGAGGCUCAGAGUUUAUAUAGUCAUCCUUUCCAUAAUUCUUUCAUUUGUUUAAUUAGUAGUUGUUGAAGCCUCCAAUCUUUAACAAGUCUACAACUAAAUGGUAUUCCCCUAUUUUCUAUGUGUUACCUGCACAUCUGUCCAUGAAAAGUCAAGAAGAUUAGUAAACAUAUAUAUACAAGAGUGCAUUUCAGUUUUGGUUGUUGGGAGCCUAGAAGCUUCCCCAUAUAUUAUGUCAAAUGUGACUGCCAUCUUUAAGAAUUUACCAUGGAAAACUCAACAUAAAAUAUUACUAUGAAGCAUGUCUACCAAGCAAAAAGCUAGGGCUAUUAGAUCUCCUUCUACCAUAACUUCCUGUUUUUCGAAAAUUUGUCAUACAUUGAAACCUUUUUCAAAACAACAAAAAGAUUUAAUAUUGCAAAUAAUUUACGGGCAUUAAUUAGGAAGGUAAUGCACUAAUAAACCUAAAAUCAAUGCCAAUUUUUCUAGAAAGGCAUCGUUGUCUUUCAAUAACUUCUUAAGCUAGCUAUUUAAUAUUAUAGGACGACUAGGUCUAUGAAUGAGAUCAUCAUAUGCAUUUUCAAUAACAAGUAAUGGACCCUUGUUUUUCCAUUGGAUUUGAGUAACGAUGAAAGUUCUUUAGGAAAAGGAAAGAAACAUAAUUAAUCUCUUAAAUUUCUUCUUCAUGCAUGUUGCUAGAUAAAGGAUUGAUGGGGCAAGCAACAAAGGGAGAUUAUUUAAAGAGAUUUUGUAAUAACUACUUUGGAAUUGGGAGUUGUAGAAAGUGGAAGAGAAAAUGUUCAAGGAAUAGUUCAUUCCUCAAAUGUUCAUCCAUUCCUUUGUAUAGGGUUUUGCCUUUAAAUAUCAACAAAACUGCUCAAGGUGUAUUUGAUAGUAAUUUUAGAAAGUAUUUUUAACCUUUAUAAUACUUAAAAAAAAAAAAAAUUGUUAAGUGUCAAAAAUAUUAAAAACACAUCUUAAAAUCACUACUAAACGGACUCUUAAAAGUUCAUAUGAAAUUAAUCAAAUUAGAUAAGGACAGGUUCUAACCUGUGGACAUAUAUGUAGAACUAAGGUCUUAGAACCGGUGAUGAUGAGAUUGCAAUCACAACUCACAACCAAAUAUCAUACAUACUUGAAAGAAACAAAUUGGAAGGAAAUCUAUUUCAAUAUGAAUUAUAAAGUGUUUUUGUGGUUAAUAUAAAAAAUAAUGACACUACAUGCAACUUACAUAUGUACUUGCUUUAUAUGCUAACGACAUUAUUUAUAUGCUAGAUAUUAACUAGACACCAUCAAUCAAGUCUAUAUAUAUAUAUAUAUUAUUAUUUAUAUCUUUAUACUUUGAUCUCAUUUGUUUAUUUCUUCGUUCAACAACACAAAUCUCAUCAUGCAUGUUUAAUGAUCCGGAUUUAGAGCUCAAUAGAUAUCACUAGGGUAGCUUAGGAUUUUCUUACCUAAAAUUACUAUAAGAAGUACUCAAGGAAAAAGAAAAUGAAUGAUCUAAAAGUGGAUCCCUUGCAACACUUCAAGGAGUCGAGAUUUGUACUUGGUUGGGCUUGGAAUUCUAAUAAUCCUAGUUGGCUGGGCACUUGGCUUUCUAAUAAUUCUAGUUGUCGCAUUAACGGAAACUGUUUGUAACUCAACAGUAUGGACAAUUGAAAUGUUUAUGGAGUAUUGUUAAUCAAAGCUGCCAUGGGAAAAUCUUUUGUUUGAAGCCCUUCACUGGAAUAUUCAAUAAAUAUAGCUAGCGCCACUUUCCCUCAGAAAUAAUUCCCCCCAAUACCUUAAAUGGUAUGCUUAAUUUCUUAUUCACUUUUACACACCUAUUCAUCUUAAUUACCAAAUGCACCCACUUUCUGUUUUUUUUUUCUUUUAACUCAUUAAUGUUUUAAAAAAAAUUGGUAUUAAUCAAAUAUUAAUUUUAAAAUUUUUAAUUAUUUUAAAAAAUUAUCAUAUCGGUUAAGAAAUUUAAUGCAUUAGCUCUCACUUGAUUUGAAAUAUGUUUGUCUAAUGAUAGAACUUGAAAAUUAUAUAGUUACACGCACAUAAAAAAUUGGCCAAGCCAUUGUAGACCGGUUUUGUUCCAACAAAUUCUAGUAUUAAUUGGCUCGAAUCAAGUUCUAAAUGAUUUUUAAAAUUUAUUAAACUUAUUAAGGAAUCCAAUGCAUCAAAUUGGAUUUAGAAGAUGACACAUCUCAAAGCAAAACAAUAGGGAAAGGUAUAAUAAAUCACAAAUUCAAUGUUAUAAAUAUCAAAAAUUAAACUGGAAUAAUCUCAAAUGACAAAAAUUAAGAAGAUUCUAUAGAUAAGGAAAUAAAAGCAAUAACAAAACAUAAUACAUUGAAACUAAAAUCCUUUCCAAAAGAGAAAAAGGCAAUUGGAGGAAAAUGGGUAAACAAUGAGUCAAAUCCUAUUUUUUGAAAACAACCAAAGGUUUAUAAAAUAAUAAUAAAUAAAUAAAUAAAAUGAAAUAAAAUAAAAUAAAUAAGAUCUCCUUUAAGACUAAAUGAUUCCAUUGAAUUGAGUAUGAUUGUGUGUGUGAUAGCAUCAACAGUACUAAGAAUAUCAAUGACCUUUUGGCAACCAACCUUCAAAAUAUAAAGGGGAAAGAUGUGCAAAGAAGAAUGUAAAAGGAGAAAUAUUAGAGAGACACAAAGUAAGAUUAGUGGUUAAGGGUUACAAGCAUCAACUUGUAAACAACAAAUUAGCAAUUGCACUAUCAAAAAAUCCAAUUUUAUAUGUUUGAAACAAGAUAUCAAUACAAAAUAUCAUUUUAUUAGAGAGUGCAUAAUGAAGAAGAAAGUAUAAUUAAAUUUGCAAAAUCUCAAGAUUAAAUUGCAAAUAUUUUUACCAAACCUCUCAAGUUUAAAAAUUUUAGAAAGUUAAGUAUAUUACUUGGAGUUACAAAUAAAGUUUAAGGGGGAUAUUGGAAAGUUAAACUUGAUUUAGAAAGUUUCCAAAACUUAGAACUAGAUUUAGUCUCCACAAUUCAAAGAUAAUAUUUUAUUUUCAAUGGUUGUUUAUAUUUGAGUAGUCAAGUCCUAGAAGGUUAAUUUCUAUAUUUUGUUAUUAGAAUUUUCUAUUUUGUUAAGUGUAAAUAUCUAUAAAUAAGAUUUUAUGUAAUAUUUGAAUAAGAAAGUGUGAAGAUGAAUCUCACCUAUGGAUAACAGCUAGAGGGGGCUAAAUAGAUGUUUUUUAAAACAACUUAAGAUGGUAUCUCACAAAUGCUUACAAAUCCCUUAUUUUUCUCAAAUGUUUUGGUUUGUUUUUUUUUAUCUUAUUAAAAAAAAAACAAAUCAUAAGUAAUAAUGGAUGCAUCAACACUCUCUCAUUAAGUGAGUCAAUGCAAAUCACAUACAAAUGAAUCAACACUCCUCAACUAUAAUGUAUAAGACAUUAUAUGCAUCGACACAAAUCCCAUUUUCGCAUGUCCCAUGACAUUAAUAUCAAAAACUGAAAUAUACCAUAUUCUAUCAAAGCUUCAAUGGUUUAAUUUAAGCUCAUAUCUCAAUUAAACAACAAAAUAAUUCAAUAGAAAUAUCAUAAGCUAAUGAAAAACUAAUUAAAAGAUGAGGUAGAAUAGACAUAUAAGGGAAGCAGCCUAAAAUCAUGCCUAUCAUUCAAUUCUAUAUUCUGUCAUAUAGCUGUAUAUUGUAACAGUAGCAUAGAUUUAGCCUUACCGUUUCUAAAUUUGAAUCAUAUAGUUGUAUAUUGUAACGGUAGCAUCCUUAUCGUGUAUAUGUUUCUUAAACUAGCUUCUUAAUCACUUUAUAUAAUAGAGUUUCCAUCAAUAAAAUGAGUUGGAAAUUCUUCAUUGAAACUACGACAAUAUUUUUUUCUUUAUAUGGUAUCAGAGCACUGAUCUCAAAUGAGCCAUCGAUCCAAGUUAUCACCAUGCCUUCCUCCUCUGAUCAAACUCCAAACUUUAAUCUCAAUACUCAACUUCCAUCUGCAGUCGAUAAACCCCUAAUUGCUCUCAAUAUCACAACCCAAAUCAAUGAAAAAUUAACUCCCUCCACAUUUUCUCAAUGGUGUGCUCAAUUUGAAGCACUCAUUAUUGGUUACGAUUUACUCAACUAUGUUGAAGGCACCAUUCGGUGCCCUUCCUCUACUGCUACUCCUACUGAUGAGUUGCACAAAACCCAUUGGGUCCGAUAGGAUAAACUUAUCUUGAGUGCUAUUCUAGCCUCCACAUCUUCUUCAAUCACACCACUCAUUGCUACGUCAAAGACCUCCCAUGAAGCUUGGAAAAAAUUAAAACCUCUAUAUGCUACCCGAUCAAGAACACAUGCUAUGCAAUUAAAGGAGGAACUCACCUUAAUCCAGCGAGGAGAUCGGUCGAUUAUAGAAUGCAUCCAUCCUCUAAAGUCCUUGGCCAAUGAAAUAACCAUUAUUGAUCAUUCAAUUUCGGAUGAUGACCUAACCCUUUGUGUGUUGAAUGGCUUAGGUCUAGAUUUUCGAGAGAUUGUUGUGCAUAUCUGAGCUCGAGAAUCAUCACUGGCUUUUGAGGAGUUGCAUGAUCUUUUGGUUGGACACGAGGCAUACUUAUGACGCAUAGGAGUUGCGAUGCAGAACCUAGUUGCUUCUGCAAAUUUCAUAAAGAUGACGAAGUAGUCUCCACAAUGAGGAAGUCACCCGUGGUCUUUCAAGCAAACUAGCUUUCACCAUGAGCCUCGAGGUUCUCAACAAAGCUGCAACUCAAAUGGAGCCCAACGUGAUGGAUGUCGCUCCAACAAUAACUCUAGGCGACCCAACAACUCCAAUUGGUGUUACCAGCCCAAAUGUCAAAUUUAUGACCAAUUGGGCCACACUGCAAAGUUCUGUCCUCAACUCCAUUCAUAGAAUGCCUCCAUCAAUUGUGCUGCAAUCUCUACUGGCAAGGACAAAAAUUGGUUACUUGAUUCGACUAUUUCUCAUAAUAUCACGGGUGAUCUUUCCAACUUAUCUAUUCACUCCGAAUAUGAUGGAAUUGACAAAGUAAUUCUCAGUAAUGGUUCAAGUUUGGUUGUCUCACACAUCGGUUUUUUGGAUUUACACUCCCCUCAUCGAAAUUUUACAUUGCAUGAUACUCUUUGUGUUCCAAAUCUUUGCAGAAAUUUAAUUUCCGUUCAUCAUCUCACCAAACAAAACAAUGUCUUGGUUGAAUUUCACCAUUUUCAUUUUCUUGUGAAGAACAAGAUCACGGGGGCAAUCCUACUAAGAAGAGCAUGUAACAAUGGCAUCUACACUUUUCCGACAUCAAUGGUGGCAUAAAAAAAUAUUGCUAAUGUGCAUGAACACAGAUGGAUGGCACAAGCGUCUUGGGAUUCCUUCUACUAAAAUUGCCCAUCAUCUUGUCAAUAAAUUUUCUCUUCCUAUGUCCUUGAACAAAAAGUUUAUCUUCAUUAUGUUCUUCAUGUUCUAUUAAUAAAGCACAUCAACAACCACUUUGUGUCACUAGUCUCCAAAGUCAUGAGCCACUUGACCUUAUUUACACGGAUGUGUGGGGUCCCGCUAGUUAUACUGGAAUUGAUGGAUCACGAUAUUACCUUAUUUUUGUUGAUCAUUAUACAAAAUAUAUAUGAUUUUAUCCAAUGGUCACAAAAUCCAAUGUUUCUAAUAUUUUCCCGCAUUUCAAAAAGUUUGUUGAAACUUGUUUUUAAAAAUCUAUUAAAACACUUUACUUCAAAAAUGGUGGUGAGUUUAUCGCUUUAAAAUCUUAUUUAUUACUUCAUGGCAUAACUCACUACACCACUGCUCCACACACUCAACAACAAAAUGGUGUCUUUGAACGUUAUCACUGUCAUCUCGUUGAAACGAACCUUACACUUCUUCAUGAUGCAAAUCUUGCUUUCUCAUAUUGGCCCUAUGCUUUUCAAACAACUUCUUAUCUCAUAAAUAAACAACCAAUGCCUUUCCUCCAAGAAAAAAAUACCUUUUGAAGCCCUUUUUGGUCAACCACCCAAUUACUUGAAAUUAAAAAAAUUUGGGUGCAUUUGUUAGCCCCUCACACGAGCCUAUAAUUCAAAUAAAAUGCAGCCCAAAUCCAAAGUCUGCAUUUUUCUCGGUUAUUCACCAACCCAAAACGCAUACAAGUGUUUUGAACCUCAAACAAAAAAUUCUUUCUCUCACGGCAUGUGUUAUUUGAUGAAAAUCUAACAUAUUCCAGUCUAUCCUAAACUGCGUCUUCCAUAACAACCCAACCCACUCGAGAAUCUCACAUUUUUUUUCAUUUUUUCUUCUUCAAUUCUCAGCAGGCUGUCGUGUCUCCAUCACAGUUGUCCGGUACACCUAUCUCAUCGUUGUCUCCGGAAGGUCCGCCUACCAUUGUUGCGUCUUCCUUAGGUGAUUUCGGACCCUCUGCUCCUUUCUUUCAUGAUUGCUUGCAAACCCUAGAUCACAACACCACCCACUUGAAUUUUCCUUUACAUGACACUCAGACUGGUCCUUCUUUAAAUUUGCAAUCACGCUCUCAUGAUCAGCAUCUAGGUCUAGCUAAUACUUCCAAUUUUCCAACCCCUACCGAAACCAAUAAUUUUCCCCAACGCACUCAUACCAUGACCAUAAGAUCAAUGUACCAAAUCUUCAAACCCAAACAACUCCACACUGUGUCAAAAUAUCCUCUCUCCUCGACCAUUGAACCAACCAAUGUGAGCCAAGCCAUUUCUCAACCUCAUUGGCGUGAGGUCAUGUCUAAUGAGCUUACUGCUCUAAUGAAACAUAGGACUUGGGACAUAGUUUUACCACCUUCAAACUGUAAACCCGUGGGUUGUAAAUGGGUAUUUUGAGUAAAAAGAAAAGCUGAUGGGUCAGUGGACAGGUUCAAAGUCUGUCUAGUUGCUAAGGGCUAUAAUCAACGUCUUGGUGUUGAUUACAAAGACACUUUUAGUCUUGUCAUCAAACCAACAACUAUUAGAUUUGUCCUAUCUAUUGUAGUCAUGAAUGGAUGGGUUUUGAGGCAACUGAAUAUCAACAAUGCUUUUCUAAAUGGUGAAUUAUCUGAGACUGUGUUUAUGGCAUAACCCCCAGGGUUCAAAGAUUUGUCCAAACCUAAUCAUGUUUGCAAGUUAAAAAAAUGCCAUCUAUGGGCUUAAAUAAGCCCCGCGAGCUUGGUACACAAUGCUAAAAAAUGCCAUUCUUCAGUUGGGUUUUCAUAAUUCCAAAGUGGAUUCCUCUCUCUUCAUUUACAACCAUGGUUCCAAUCUUUAUUAUUUCUACAGGGAAUAAUUUCAUACUUAUGGCCACUAUUAUGAAGCAGCUGGGUGACAUGUUUUCUCUCAAAGAUAUGGGUUCUCUUCAUUUUUUCUUAGGAAUUGAAGUAAUUCCUACUCGGGCAGGAUUAUUCCUCUCACAACAUAAAUAUGUUCAUGAACUUUUAGCCCACACCAGUAUGAGUAGUGCAAAAGAUGUCUCCAUACCUCUCUCUACCACUCAAUCUCUUCAACUGGUUGAUGGCAUUGUUGCUGUGGACAACUCAGAGUUCUGUAAAAUCAUUGGCAGCCUUCAAUACCUUUCUUUGACGCAUCCAGAUAUCUCAUUUGCAGUAAAAAAAACUCUCGCAAUUUAUGCACAAGCCGACUACAAAUCACUGGACAGAAACCAAACGACUCAUUCGAUACUUAAAACAAACCAUUUUUUUAUGGUAUUCAAAUCAACAAAGCUGGAACUCCAGUAUUAAGAACAUACUCAGAUGUAGAUUGGGCUGGAAAUGUGGACGACUGCACGUCCACCUCUGCUUCUAUCAAUUUUUUGGGAUCUAACCAAAUUUCUUGGAGCUCAAAGAAACAAAGAGCAGUUGCAAGAUCCUCAAUAGAAGUUGAAUACCGAGACUAGCAACUGCGGCUUCCGAGACAAUGUGGAUGUCUACUCUCUUCAAAGAACUAGCAUUUCCAAUCAAAGAAUCUCCCCAAUUGUUAUGUGACAACCUUGGAGCCACACAUCUCAGUUUUAACUCGGUUAAUCAUUCACGCAUGAAACACAUUCAAAUUGACCUUCACUUUGUGCGUGACUUAGUGCAAAAAGGAAGCAUCCAAGUCAGCCAUGUACAUACUCAAGACCAAUUAGCUUAUCUGUUAGCAAAGUCGUUGUCCAAACAACGCACAGAAUUGUUACGCAACAACAUUGUCCUUACCGAUGGAAGCCCUAUCUUGCAGGGGUGUAUAAGGGAAACAUCCUAAAAUCAUGCCUAUCAUUCAAUUCUAUAUUCUGUCAUAUAGUUGUAUAUUGUAACAGUAGCAUCCUUACCGUGUAUAAGUUUCCUAAACUAGCUUCUCAAUCACUCUAUAUAACAGAGUUUCUAUCAAUAAAAUGAGUGGGAAAUUCUUCAUUGAAACUACGACAAUAUUUGUUUCUCUAUAAGAGAAACGGUGACACCAAUAUUUUAGCAUGGAAAACCUAAAAAAAGGAGAAAAAACCAUAGACCUCUAGCGAUCAAAUCAUUCACCAUGAAGAAAAUUAACUAAGUACAAGGAUUUACCUAACCCAAACUUUCAAUCCUCUCUUGGUCCACUUGCCUAAAAUCUUCAGACUUUAGCAACCCACUUUCUUCUUCUAGAACACACUUCAAAUCCAUACUAAGUUUGAUCUUGACCUCUUCUUAAAUCCACAUAAGAAGAUAUUUGAGUUUUUACCCCAAAUAAGAUGAAUAUAAGCGUAAAGAUGAAACUCACACUGAAUCAACCUAUUUUGAAAGAAAUUUUUUCACUUAAAAAUGAAUUUCAACUCAAACCCAUAAAAUUUUCAUUCAAACCAAACACCUCAAAAACAGGUAAAAGAAUAUGAAGCUCAAGAGAGGCCACCUAUCUCUUUCAGCCCGCCCUUCCUCUUAUAGAAAUAGAGCUUAAAUAUUAGGGUUUUAAAACCCAUUAAACGGAUGAGAUUUGUUUGGAAAAUAAUGAAGAUUCAUAGUGUGAUCGAAACCUGAUCACAAGACUGAAAAAAUCUGGGUUCAACAAAAACUGUUACCCUUCAGUUUUAUGUUGUGGUUGAGUACUACUCGAUAAUAGUGAGUGAUAUCAUUUAUGGAGGACCAUCACAUGAUGGUCCAAAUGAGAAGUAGAUAUGAUACUAAAAAUUGAUGUAAGGUAAUGUCCCGUCCCAAGACCCACUCCAAGGGCAUGAAGGUCAUUUCACACCUCAAACCCAAAGGCUUAAAGUGUAACCUGACCCAAACAAUUAUCUUAUAACUGGAAGUUACCAAUUACCAAAUACCUGUUUAGAGUAGCAAAAUAAAAUUCUAAAAUCUUCAAAACUUAACUUUAAAACUAAGCAUCCAUCAACCAAAAUCCAUUUUCCAAAUAAAUUGCAAACUCAAACAAUUCAAGUGCUAACAAAAAUUUUCAUAAUCUCCAAAUCUCAACUUCAAACUAUCAAAAAAAAUUUAAAAGUUCAAUAUCUAAAUAGCUUCCAAAAACCAAAUAAUCCAAAUGAACAUAAACUUAUAAGCUAACAAUGUCCAAAAAUAACAUCCUAAGCAAAAUCCUAAUGAUGACCAUUCCCCGACCUAGCCAUCACUCAUCGCCCGAACUAAGUGUACCUGAAAAAUUAUCAACAAAAGAGAAUGAGCUCAAAGCCCAAUAAGGAACAUUAUUAUAGUCCAUGGAUCAAAUAUUUCAAGUUCACUUGUAAAAUAGGAGAUAUUAUAACUAAUUAUUUUCAUAAACCUUUGAGUCAGUUUUGUCAAUACAUUCAAAACUUUUAAUUGAACACUUUCAUUUCUGAUUCAAACAUUUUCAUAUCAAAUUCAGUCAAAACAUUCAAAUCAUUUAUUUACUUUGGUCAUCAAACAUUAAAUGAUGUCCAAUUAGGUGAGACUUUUCAAAUAAGUGGCUAGCCUCAAAUUGUUCAUUUAAGGUGGACGAAACCAAACACUACUAGUACUAGUAACCUCUAACCAAACCCCUAGAGGUUGGGGUCCAAAUCAAUUACAUUCCCCACCAAGAAAUGUAAAUGUCAACUAUUAUAUUUCGUCGACAAGGGUCAAACAAACCAAAAUCAAACACUUAUUUCAAUUAUUCAAAUUUGCAAAACAUAAUAUCUCCAUAUUUCUCUGUUGUGAACAAAAUGUAAGGUUCUAACAUACUUUUCAUGCAAAACAUAUUUGAUUCAUGCAUAAAACGAAUAAUAACUCAAAGCGUUUCCAAAUGAUGUAUAUAAAAAUUUGUUUCUAAAAAAAAAAAAAAACCUGCAUUAAUUUCCCUUACCUCAAAAGAAGUCUUCAAAAACUUAGGAGAAAAAUAAUUCUUAAAAAUCUACUCCUCACCUAACAAAGUAUAAGAGAAAUAACCAUUAUUAUUUAUCUAAAAUUAUAGGUUUGACAAUCCUAAAAGGUAUUCAAAUUAAUGUUUUUAAUUAUAAAAGAUAAUUUAAUCUAUUCCUAUUUUAGAAAAAUUAAUAAAUUUCUAAUUCAUAUAAAACUUAAAUUUUAUUUUCAAUUUAUUUCUUAGGAUACAACAUAAUUUAAUUAAACUACAAUUUAUUCUACUAAUUAAAUUUUAUGCCACUUAUUAACUUACACUCAUCAUUAGUAUAAUAAUAUUGAUAACUUCUAUUCUCUUUCUUUCAAUUUUUUUUUUCCACUAAACAUAAAUUGUAACCCUAACAAUUCUCCAUUAUUGCUAACAUAAUAAUGUAAAGAUAUUUAUUAACCACCAAACACCAUCCGUACACAUCUUCCUUUAUUAUUAAUAUUACUAUUUUUUUUCUUUUAAAAAAAAUAAAAAAUUCCUCCAGUGCAAGUGUGUUCUUUUUUUUUCCCCUAAUGUUUUCUAAUCCCUUAACCCACAUAUAAUAAUAUAUUUAUUUACUCAUUUAUUUAUUUAUUUUUAAAAAAAUCAUUACUUAGAUCUAUUCAUCUAAAAAAUUUUGAAUUUCCCUUAUUUCAACAAUAGAACAAUCUAUAUUCCCAAUUUCAAUAUUUUGACCUAAAAGUUUUAAAUAGGUUAAGUCUAGCCUAAAUUGAAAUCUUUCAAAGAAAUUUUUUUUUUUUUCAAAAACUUAAGAUUUCCCAAUUUUUAAUAAUAAAACCACCAAUAAUCCUAAAUUUCUAAUAUUUUGAUAUUAAAACGAAUUAAAAAAAAAACUAACCCUAAUCUAAAUUAAAAAAAUAAAAUUCAAAGAAUAACUAACGUGUUUAGAACUAACUAUUGAAUAUAAUAUAUUAAUUUAAGAUUAGAAUCUUACCUAGAAAAAAAACCUGAAUUUCAACUUUAAAUCUCUAACCCUUGAGCCCUACGAACUCCAAUUCUCUACUUCUAGUUAAUAGGGUUUUCUGAACGAAGAAGAAAAGAGGAAAAAUCCAAUUUAUACCUAGGAUUUUUAAUUGUAAAAUGACUCUUUCACCCUCAAUGAAUUUAAUUAAUUAUUUAAUUACUUUAUAAAUUACUAGUUUGCCCCUAGAUUAAAUUUUGGGGUGUUACAGGUAAUCAAGUAAAAGUUAACGAGUUGGAUCGAAACAGGUUCUGACUUUCUGUAGCUGCAUUUAGAAAUGAAGGUUUUACAGGUAAAGAUGUUUCAGACACUUCUUCACCAAAACCCAUGUGUAAAAGGAACAGAUUGAACCGAAAGCUACUUCAUUAUGGUUUUGUGGAGAGUUGCUUUUCUUGAGAAGUUCUAUAUAGGCUUUCAGUUACUUGUGACCUAUUGUGCUUCAAAUCAAUCAAUUUGAUUUUCGUGCCAGAAUGAAAGCAUUGAUUAUACUAGAAGUUCAUGUUCAAGUUUAAAGUAAAGUAAAUAUGCGAAGACUGUUUUUUGUUAUCAAACCUAAUUCCCUUUUUUUUCCUCCAUUUUUUUUUUUCUCAGCUUCUGAGUUCAUGAAAUUACAGUUACAUGGAAUUUGGCCCACAGGAAAUCUCUUUUAGAAAAUCUUAUCCGGUUUACUUCACAAUUUUUUUUUUAAAUGUGAAAAUUAAGAACAAUUGCAUGCUGUUGAUCAAGACAUCCAUGUUUAGCAAUUCAUCCUCUCAUUGAAAUAAAUGUAAAUGUUCCAUUUAUUUAAAAGUUUGCGAAUCUUAAGUAGAUGGCAAACAGAUCAAUAAGGUCCAAUAACAGAACAAAUUAAUGGCUAGUAUAUACUGAAAGAGAACUCAAGGGUAUAAAAUAAAAACAAAAUGAUCCAAACUGCAAAGCAUCAUGGCCAUGGCAAGGUCCUUAUUGUUGAACUGGAUGUCUUUCUUUGAUGUUAAUAGUCGUUGUACCCCCAAAAGAUCUUCCUGUUCCUUCUGAUAUCAAUUAUUCAUUCUAUCUAUCCUAUAAUCUGCACGGAAAACAGAGGAAUGUUAAAUACUGUAUGAAUGAUGAAAAUGAGAAAUGUGGUCUGUAUUAUUAUAUAUACUUACAUGAAACUAGAAGAGGCAAUUCAUUUAGUAAUAUGGUGGAGGAGGUGAAGGAGAGGAAGGGGGUGGUGACUUGUGGUGGUAGACUGGUGGUUGGGAUGAUGGAGAAGGUAGUGGUGGGGACUUAUAGUAAUAAGGAGGUUGAGGAGAUGGUGAUGGAGGAGGAGGUAAUUUAUAGUCGUAGUGAGGAGGGGGUGAUGGUGAAGGUAGUGGUGGUGACUUGUAGUAAUACCACGGAGGAAGAGAUGGAGAGGGAGCCAGAGGUGACAUCGGUGGUAGUGAUUUAUAGUAAUAAGGAGGCAGUGAUGAUGGAAAAGGUGGGAGCGGUGGCAGUGAUGAUGGAAAAGGUGGGAGCGGUGGCCGUGAUUUAUAGUAAUAAGGAGGUAGUGAUGAUGGAAAAGGUGGGGAUGCAAAAGUAUUAGGAUUGUGAGGCUCGUCUUCAGCAGCUACAUUAGCAGCAAUCAAGCACAAAGCCAAGGCACAAAUCAGGUGAGGCCAAAAAUUGGCCAUUUCCGGAACACGAGAAAAUUUCACUCCUGCAACUCAAGAACUUCUAUUUCUUAGAACAGAAGGGAUUUUGUGAAUGAUGCUUCAAGCUAGAGGCUCAGAGUUUAUAUAGUCAUCCUUUCCAUAAUUCUUUCAUUUGUUUAAUUAAUAGUCGUUGAAGCCUCCAAUCUUUAACAAGUCUACAACUAAAUGGUAUUCCCCUAUUUUCUAUCUGUUACCUGCACAUCUGUCCAUGAAAAGUCAAGAAGAAUAGUAAACAUAUAUACAAGAGUACAUUUCAGUUUUGGUUGUCGGGAGCCUAGAAGCUUCCCCAUAUAUUAUGUCAAAUGUGACUGCCAUUUUUAAGAAUUUUCCAUGGAAAACUCAACAUAAAAUAUUACUAUGAAGCAUAAAUAUUUUAUGAUCAUUUCAUGUCUACCAAGCAAAAAGCUAGGGUUAUUAGAUCUGCUUCUACCAUAACUUCCUGUUUUUCGAAAAUUUGUCAUACAUUGAAACCUUUUUCAAAACAACAAAAAGGUUUAAUAUUACAAAUAAUUUACGGGUAUUAAUUGGGAAGGUAAUGCACUAAUAAACCUAAAUUCAAUGCCGAAUUUUCUAGAAAGGAAUCGUUGUCUUUCAAUAACUUCUUAAGCUAGCUAUUUAAUAUUAUAGGAUGACCAGGUCAUGAAUGAGAUCAUCAUAUGCAUUUUUAAUAACAAUUCAUUUUUUUCCUUCCUUCUCUUGUUGUGAAAGUAAUUUCCAAAGAAGAAAAUUGUGAGAUUAGGUAUGAAACAUUCAAAGGCAUUUGCAUUAGUUUAAUGCCACUCUGCGUAAAUAUUUGAAUAUGCACUUAUAAUAUUAUUUUAAGAAUAUAUUGUAUUUUUUAUGUUAAUUUGGAUAUAUAAAAGCUUCUUUGCAUGUACCACCGGCAAGACAAUUGGUAUCAAUUUGAAUACGACUUUUUAAAAAAAUAAAAAAUAAAGAACUUCUGUAUAAAAAUAUAACAUCUUAAACAAAAAAAUAUAAAUUUAUUUUACAUAUUUAAAAAUCACUUUUUAAAAUUUUAAAUAGGAAAAAAAAUUGUACUAUUUUUCUCAAGAAAAUCUUUUAGUAUUUUCUCUCACAUCUUUUUCUUAAUAUUUCUUUUUACCUCCAAAUAUUUUUAAACAAAAAAAAUCUUUUCCUUAACUUUUUUUUCUUGGUAUUUUACUUUUCACUAACCAAACCUAACCUAUAUUUUAUGUGUGGUACAAUAAUUUAUUUUAUUGAAAAGCAAAUUUUUAUUUUACAUGAGUUAAAAAAUAAAUAAAUUAAAUUAAAUUAUUUUUCAAAAUUAAUUAUAUAUAUAGUCAAGGUGGGAAAGCAAUACCCAAACCUACCCCAAACCUAUCUAGGUUUGAAAAAAGUCUCAAACUUAUCUCUAACCCAUUUAUUUUAAUUACAAACAUGUCCCAUUUGUAAGGCAAGUACCCAAAAAAGUUCAUGUCAUUGUCAUUCAUACUAAUAUCUAAUAACCUAUAUGGUUUGUGUGUUACGACACUAUAAAGCAUUGCAAACAUAUUUUGUUAACUUAAUAUGUGUUAAUAUUGAAGGAAAAAUAAAGUUAAGAAAAAUGAUGUUCUUAUGUUUGGAUAGCAUAGAAAAAGGUUUGAAAGAUAUAUACAUGGAGAAAAGAGGGAGAAAAUUGCUAAAAGAGUUUCUCUUCAUUUUCCUUAAAAACAAUGGGGAAAGUUUGGGGAUAACAUGGUGUCUCAAUAAUUUAAUUUUCUUUCCUCUUGCCUCUAUUUCUAUGUGGAUGCAUGUGAACAAGAUUUUAAAAAUAUCUCUUAUUUGUAGCAUAUGAUUUUUUGAAGCUUUAUAAUAGUCGUAACUUUUUAAUAAUGUCAACUGCAACAAGGUUGUCACAAUUUUGAUUCAUUCAGAAACGAUUUCUAUUACUACCAUUUGGAAGUCUUGAACUUGUUCUAUAAAAACCAACUAGUUGUGAAAGGUGAAUCUCAAUGAUAGAACACACCUAGCGAGGAGUGAAUAGGUGUUUCUGUCCAAUUUAAAGGUCUCCCAACACAAGUUAACUAACCUUAACAAUUUUUACAAUUUUUCCUUCUCUUUACAAACACUUAAAAACACAAAUUAGAAAUCACAUGCAAAUAUGAAUGCAACAACACUACUCAACAAGAAUAAAAUGCAAUUCACAUGUAGAUGUUCCAACACUCCCCAAACCAAAACCUUAAAACAAUAUUUUUAUUAAUAACAAGAGUAAAAAAAUCUCAAAUAUGCAUAUGAACAAUAUGCAAAAACAAUAUUAAAAGUAACUCAUAUCUAUUUUUCCUCAACAUUCAACCAAAAAUUAGAUGUCCAAAUUAUCAAAGAUAGCUAAAACUGAAAAUGAAAUAAAAAGGAGAAUGAGAGACAAUGAGACAACACCAAAAUUUACAUGGAAAACCUCCUAGGAGGUCAAAAACUAUAGGCCUACAACCGAUCAAAAAUUCCAUUAUGAAGAGCAAUCAAGGUGUACAAGGAUUUAUCUUGCUCAAGAUCUCCAAUCCCUCAUGAACUACUUGACAAACACCUUCUCACCUCUCAACCCCACCUUCAUCUUCAGGAACAUGCUUGGAGUCCUUCCCAAGCUUGAACUCGACCUUCUCCUUGAAGUUCCAUUAAGAAGAAAAUGGGUUUUCACCCAAACCAAAAUGAAUGAGAGAUGAAUGUUCAAAUAACUCAACCCAUUUUUCUUUUCAAAAAAUUCAUUAAUUUUUUUUUUUUUUUGAAGAUUUGAACAAGAUUUUCAUGAAAAGCAAACAACCUUUAAAAAGGGAAGGGAAUGAAGAGCUCAUUCACAAUUGUUGCUCUCUCUGCUUUCCGAAAAUGAGAGAAUUAUGAUUUUAAAGGGAAAUGAAACCCUUAAUCUAAUGGUUGAAAAAAAAUCUCAAAAAGAAAUAAUUUGGAUCAAUCUGCCCUUGCACUUGGAUGGAUCCAAAAACAAGGGAACAUAAACCUUUUAGCAAAUAUAUUUUUCCCAUGCUUCCCUAACUCUUUUAAAAUGAUUCAAUACAAUCAACAUUUUGAAAAUGGGGUUGAUUCAAAUUCAUUUAACCACAAACUCGGCUACUUACCUUGGCCUCUUAGCAAAUCUAAAGUCUUGAUCUUCAAAGUCAAGUAGUCCAACAACGGAUUUAGAGAACCAUAGCUAGUAGACACUUAGGUAUAUUGUUCAAAAUUGCCAACCUAACUACAACACUCACAAGUUGGAUACUUCUCUGCAUUUGCUUCCUCAAUAUCAUAUCAAUAAUGUCAAUUGUAUUCUCUUUAAGUAUAUUCAAGCCCUUCUAAGCUUGACAACCUAAAAACUAAUGUAGCAGACUUCUCUUGAGUUGUCACCUCCAUGAUAGAAUAGUUCAAUGGAUUCUCUAUAUAGCUAUCUUAUACCAAUCUACACAAAUGGAAGAGUUCAAAACUACUCUAUAAGAUAACAAUCUUCUUUUGGCAAAAAAGAAACUAAGAAAGAAGAAAGAAGAAAAUUAACAAAUAAAAAAAUAUAUGAUACAAUGGAGUACUCUACUAACUAUAGGUAAGUUAUAUAUGUAAGGAUUAAAAUAUUAGGAAAGGAGUUUUAUAAAUGCAUCCACCUAGACUCUCUUUACAUUCAACCUUUUAAUGUAAUUUUUUAAGACAUGAAUGUCCCUUGGUGAAAUCCCCAAAGUACCCUUUAGUACCAAAAAAAAAUGAAACCCAUGGCGUAUGUCCAACACUCAAGGAUCGAACAUAACUGAGAUGUUUGGAAUUGAAAUAUUAGACAUUUCAGUUAUAUUUGGCCUUUUGGGACUGAACACCAUGGGUUUGAAUUUGAAUUUUUUUUUAUUUCUUCAUUUACAUUACAGUUUUUCACAAUUUCUCACUUCUACAUCAUACUUAUAUUCUUCCUAAUUGUUUUUCAACCAUUUUUACAAGAAGUUUUUUUGUCAAAAAUUAUAUAUAAAUAAGUUUUAAAAGAUUUUCAUGUUCUAUGUUAUAUGAAUUCAAACAAAAACAAAAUGAAAUGAGUUAUGAACAUAGCUACGAUAAUCUUCUUAUAUCAAAUAAACUUCAAACAAGAUGAUUUGUAACUAGGAUUUCUGGUUGGGAAGAAAUGGGUUUAGAAAUAAAGGAAGAAGAAAAUGGAUUUAGGGAGAAAAUAAUAAGAAGAGUGUUUUUGGUUUUUUAAAUUUGUAGGAUGGAUGUAUUUAAAAGUUUUUAAAUUUUUAGGUGAAUGUAUGAAUACAGUGGAUGCAAAGAGAGUUUAGACGAAUGUAUUUAUAAUUUCCCUAUUAUGAAUUAGAAAAAUACAAGGUUGUAUUUUACGAAAAUAUUAAAAAUAUUGGAGAGGAAAAUUUGGAAAAAAAAAUGAUGAAACAUAAAUAAAUUAAUCAAAACUCAAAAAUGUUAGGGAAAAUAUACAAUGAGGAAUAUAUAUACAUAUAUAUAAUAAAGGGAUUCCAGUAACCUCCAUCUACAUGACUGACAUCCAUAUAUAUGUCCAAGAAGAAGUCAAGAUGACCAAUGCCAGAUAUGAAGAGAAACCUUCUCAUCUAUCCAUGAAAAGGAAUGCUAACUAGGAUCUGCUGCCCUUCAUUUUAAAAUAGGAAGAAGAUUAGUUGGAAGCAAAAGGAUCAGCGACCGCAUUAACAAUGAGAUUCACUUCAUAGUCAAUGACCAUCAAUCCGUUUAUUAAUUAAUUUACUUCAACCAAUAUGUUUAAUUAUUUUAUUUUGAUUAGUUAAGCAAUACAAUUUGAUUAUUCCCAUUUCCUCCCAUUUUUCCUUUUUAUAUAUAUUUUCCAUAGACUUUUCCAUUAAUACGAAAAAACUUUCUAGAACAUCAGCCAAUUUUCCUUUUUUAUAUAUUUUCCAUAGACUUUCCCAUUAACACGAAAAACCUUUCUAGAACAUCAGCCAAUUACUAGAAGUUCCGUUUUGUCAGUCAAUGUUAUUGGUACGACUAGUUGGAACUUGAAAAAUAUGCAAUGCAGAACCCAAUUUGAAUACGUAUAGCUUAUUAUUAUAUUUUUAGUGAAAAGUCUUGUGAUAAUGAUUUUAAGAAAUAUUUUUUAUUUUUAUAACACUUAAAAAAUUUAUCUUUUUAGAGUGCAUUUAAGAGUGAUUUUAGAAAAUAUUUCUAAUAUUUUUAACAUUUAAAUAAUAAAAAAUUUCAAGUGUUAGAAAUAUUAAAAGCGUUCUCUAAAAUCAUUGUCAAACGGGUUCUAAGUAUUAAAAAAGUUAAAAACGUUUCUUAAAAUCAAUGAGAAACAUACUCUUAUUUUUUUUAAAAAUGGGUUUUCAAACCAAGACCCAAUAUAUAAAUGCCUUUAAAAUGUUACUUGUGGAAAUGGUGUGGUUAGGUAUGCUACAUUCAAAGACAGAAUAGUUUUUCUGUUUUACUUUUGUCCUCUCUUUCUCUAGGAAGGAAUUAAGGCACCAUUUUUGUCUUAAUAAUAUAAUUCCAUUAUAUGUAUAUAUACACCAUACGUCGAGUGACUCAGUCACUCAGCCACACAGGCAACUCGACCUUCAAACAUACGAGGAUUGUCCAACAUCACAACUAGGUCUUCUACCUCAAACUUCAUUCUUAAAUAAUUGGAAACCUUUGGCCUUCAAACGUAUAAGCUAGCUAGACUUUUGUUAAAUAUAGUAUGUAGUUUGUUAGACUACUUAUUGUACUACUUCAUGAAUAAGUUAAAAAUUGUUUUCGGAAUCUAAAAAUUUUCUAUAGGAAAGCAUUAGCUAGGUUGCUUAGAAAUGUUUGCAUUUAGGAGUCUGAAAUAAUGUUAUAGGUAUGUCAUCAUUAUGUGACUGUAGAGAUUAGAAAGAUAAUAUAAUUAAAUUGAAGGUGUAUUUUUCUCUGUAUUUUCCUUCAAAGAUCUGCAUUCCUUUCUUAUAAAACAAAAGUGUUGUUUGUUUUUGGAAAGGGAAUAAUUAAUUUUCUUCUCUGUGAGUGUUCAAAAAUUGUAUAUAGAAACAAAACUUAGAAUAUGCAUGCAUGUCCCUUCCAUUCAGUCUUAAAUUCUUAAAAGUAUAUUCCAGCCAACAAUAGUCUAUUAUUGAAUUCAUAUGAUCUGAUGGUACCUAGCUAUUUUGGGAAAGUACCAAAGUCAUUGAAUGAAUAAGUAGUCAAUCCCUGAAAUGGACUAUGUAAUGAAUUUUAUCCGUGGGUAUUUUACCAAAGGUUUAUAUUAUAUCAAUCUACCCUUGCAUGAUUCCUAUUAAAGCAUAUACUCAGGAGGUGAGUGCAGAGCAGGAUGAUCUCAAAACGGACUCCCCAUUCAUUGGAUAGAGAAAAACACCAAGAUUUCGUGAUCGAAAAUCUUGGAUCUAUAUAUAUAUAUUAUCGGAUAUAACUCAUUUCUCUCUAAAUUUAGAUGUUGGUUCAAUACAUUUUAAAUUUUUUGGUAUUAGAAAAACUAUUUUUAAAAAAUUGAGGACUAGUCCCGUUAAAUUUUAUUGGAUUGAACCAAGAAUAACUGAAAAAAUUAAUUUGGAGUUGUAUCUGGGAAAGUUUUAGCUAAAGAAAGGCACUGAAUGCAUAUGAGCUGGUGAAGGUUAAGAGCUUAAGAAACCUUCCCACGUUAGACACUCCAUAUAUAAAAAGAAGCACAUUCUAGAUUAAGAAGUGUAGUUGGAAAAGGUUACUGAGGAAGGCACUCAAGAGGUGAAAGCGACUGUUUUAAGGAAGAACAUCAUACUUCUUAUUUUAACUAUGAGUUACUUGACUCCAAAAAAUGAGACGAGAAAGUGAAUGAGGAUUAAAAGGAAAGUUAACUUCACUAGUAUCUAUAUUAAUAAUUUUGUUCCUGGAUGCUGCUGCUUCAUGUCCAAAGUUUGAUCAUCUCUCUCAAACAACAUGCAGUUUCUCUUAAUUAAUCCGGUCUACAUAUGCCCAUCGAAUGGGUUCAUUUUAUUUCCAAAUCUGAGGCAAAUGGACGAGUAUAUGUUCUAACCAACAGUAAACAAAUGGAAUAUUGUAGACAUUAUGAACAUAGAAUUGAAAGCACGCAAAACAGGCUGCAGGAGAAGCACCAUCCCUCCAUGUCAUGCCCCCUUAUUCUUAAACCAGUUGUCUUCUUUGAGGUGAAGUAGCCGAGGAUGGGACUCCAGGAAAACAACUGAUUCCCCUUUUUGUACCAUUUAUUCUUUCUAAUAAAGCAUGAACUGCAAAACAGAAUAAGAUUGGUUGAUCAUACAAAUGACAUUAAUGAAAAGUAAAUAAGCUGCAAUCAGUACAAUGUAUUUCGUACUUACAUACAACUAGUAGAGAUAGCGUCUUGUUUAGUAGUAUGUGGGAGGAGGUGGUGGUGAUGAGUAGUAGUACAUUGGAGGUGGAGGUGAUGGUGGAGGAGGGGACUUGUAAUAAUACGGUGGAGGAGGUGAUGGGGAUGGUGGAGGNNNNNNNNNNNNNNNNNNNNNNNNNNNNNNNNNNNNNNNNNNNNNNNNNNNNNNNNNNNNNNNNNNNNNNNNNNNNNNNNNNNNNNNNNNNNNNNNNNNNUGGGGGAGGUGGUGACUGGUAGUAGUAAGGAGGCGGAGGUGGGGACAGGUAGUAAUAAGGAGGUGGAGGUGGGGAUUUGUAAAUAUAGGGAGAAGGAGGUGGUGACUGAUAGUAGUAAGGAGAAGGUGGUGGUGGAGAUUUAUAAUAGUAAGGAGGAGGCGGUGAGGGAGAUGGAGGAGGUGGGGAUUUGUAAUAAUAUGGAGGUGGUGGUGGUGACUUGUAGUAAUACGGGGAAG